UUCGCAAUGCCCGAAAGGGUGACGAAGCGACGCCGCGUGCGGGAAGAAGGCCUUCGGGCUGUAAACCGCUGUCGGGAGUUAAGAAAUGUAAGGAUGUUAAUAGCAUCUUUGCUUGACUAAGGCUCCGGAGGAAGCCACGGCUAACACUGUGCCAGCAGCCGCGGUAAUACAGAGGCGGCAAGCGUUGUUCGGAAUUAUUGGGCGUAAAGAGCACGUAGGCGGCUAUGUAAGUCGGUUGUGAAAGCCUUCCGCUCAACGGGAGAACAGCAUCCGAUACUGCAUGGCUUGAGUGCGGGAGGGGAGAGUGGAACUUCUGGUGGAGCGGUGAAAUGCGUAGAUAUCAGAAGGAACGCCGGCGGCGAAAGCGGCUCUCUGGCCCAUAACUGACGCUGAGUGUGCGAAAGCUAGGGGAGCAAACGGGAUUAGAUACCCCGGUAGUCCUAGCCGUAAACGAUGGGCACUAAGUAGAGGGGUUUU
RNAcentral lists this ribosomal RNA (477 nucleotides) under uncultured bacterium. RNAcentral describes it as "bacterial SSU rRNA". It matches the Rfam family "Bacterial small subunit ribosomal RNA", at positions 365 to 832 of the family's 1533-position model. The record is from RNAcentral.